Molecule: ribosomal RNA, 2751 nt
Filed under: marine sediment metagenome
Description: eukaryotic LSU rRNA
Rfam family: Eukaryotic large subunit ribosomal RNA (bases 509-2751)
Source: RNAcentral
UCAACUAACGGUGAAUCUUUUGGUUUCAAUUACGAUGAAGAAUGCGGCGAAAUUUGAAGUUAUAUAAUGAAUUGCAGGAUCUAAUGAAUCUUUAUUGAUUUUAACGUAAUAUUAAUUGGUUACUUCUGUAAAAAUUUGUGUGUAAGAGAUAAUAUUAGUUAUAUUACCUUUCAAUAAAGAGUAAAUUACAGCAUUCAAUAUGGCCAUGUAUAUGAACUGGAUAUUAUUAUAUUGAAAAAUAAUUAUUUUGCAUUUGAUAAUAGAAUCAUUAGAAUUUAAAAUGUAAAUCACCUAGUUUAAGGAAUUAAUAAAUGUUAAAAUGUUAUUCAAAAUAUUUUUAUAUUACUGUAGAUGCUAGUAAAUUCAAAAUUCAUCAAUAAACAUAACUAGAGGAGUUUGUGGUGCUAUAGAUUUCCUGCGUGCAUGCAAGUGCAUAAGAUAGUAACUAAUGAUCACAAUUAAAAUUGAUAAUCAGUAAGAGGUGUACCCUGAUAAGUACUAUUAUAAUUUACCCAACUCCUUGUAUGAGAACCUGAUUAAUUUAAACAUAUUAUUACACAGAGGAUAUGAAUUUGGGUUAGUUUUUCUUAGUAAUGGCGAACGAACAGAACGAUAUUCACAUCAUAAACACAUUUCAAAUUAAUAUUAGUAUGUAGUUAAAUAAAUUGAAUACUUCAAAUUAUUAGAAGCUUUUUCAAACACAAUAUAUUAGAGGAUUGUAAUUCCGUAUUAGUCUAAUUAUCGAUUUUAUCUUCAGUAUGUUUAGAAUACUGCUCUUCGAUACUAGAGUAGAAAGAGUAUGAUGAUAGACAUAAAAUGAUAAACUAUUAUUGAGGGCCUUUAGCUUACAAGUAUCUUGAGGGAAAUAUGAAAAGAACUUAAGAGUAGGAGUUAAAUAGUUUGUGCAUUUGUUAGUAAAAAGCGACUAAGAUUUUGCAUUAUCGCUUUGAUAUAUGACUAUCUUUUAAACAUACAAUAAUACUUUAUCUUUGUAACAUUUUAUUUAUCAAAGUGCAUUGAAUAUAUUCCUUUUAUUUUUAUUCGACCCGUCUGGAAACACGGACCAAAGGAGUCUAGUACAAGUGCGAAAUAUUUAAAAUUAAACUCUUUUCAUUAUAUGUAAUGAGAGUCGUAUUUAUCUUAAUUGUAAAUUACUUACUGCGGAUAGUGUGUUUUCCUUUAUAUAAGCAUUUAUACUAGGACCCGAAAGAUGGUGAACUAUACUUAUGCAGGGUUAAGUCAGGAGAAAUUUUGAUUGAGGCCCGUAAUAAUACUGACGUGCAAAUCGUUUGUUGGAUACGGGUAUAGGGGCGAAAGACUAAUCGAACUAUCUAGUAGCUGGUUGCCUUUGAAGUUUCCCUCAGGAUAGCUAGAGAAUAUUAGAAGUUACAUAAGGUAAAGUAAAUAACUAGAGUUUAGGGGAUUGAUAAAGUCUCAGUCUAUUCUUAAACUUUAAAUGUGUGUAAAGUGAUACUGUUUGUAUUAGAGUGUCCCGCAGAAUAACGUUUCUCUGUGGACCAUUUUUGGUAAGCAGAACUGGCGGUAUGGGAUGUUCCAAACGCAUAGUUAAGAAGCUAAGUUGUUAACUUAGUCUGACACCAUAAAGGGCGUUACUUGAUAUGAACAGCAGGACGAUGAUCAUGGAAGUUGAAAUUCGCUAAGGAGUGUGUAACAACCCACCUGCCGAAUCAAGUAGCCCCGAAAAUGGAUAGCGCUCAAGCAUAUUUUUGAUACUAAACUACUGAUAGAGUUACGUGGAUGUUAGUAUGUAGGGGGGUGAAGCAGUAUCGUUGAAAAUUUAAAUGUAUGAUAUAUGGGAGCUAUUGUCUUUACAGAUCUUGGUUUUAGUAGCAGAUUUUCAUCAAUGAACUAUGAAUACUGAGGUGGAGUAAGGUUCCAUAACAACAACAUUUGGAUGUGGUUUAGUAGGUCCUGAAAAAAUAUUCAUUAAAUAUUAAACAAAAAUUUUUUAAUAGGGAAUCAAGUUAAUAGUCUUGAAUUACAUAAUGAGUUGUUAUUAAGGCAACUUCAAAAUUUGGUAAGAAGAUAUAAUAAUUCUACAAGAGAUUUCUAUUCUUAUUGAAAUUACUAUGAUCAUGGAAUAAUUUUUCAUUGAGAUCAGAUUAUAGAAUAUUAAAAUCAUUGCAUAUUUUGCAAUGAAUGAUACGCGCUAUUUUUUUUUUUUAAACCAUUUAUUUUUAAUGUCGUUAUACAGUAUCCAUAUUAAUCACCGCAUCAGGUCCCCGAGGUCAAGCUCCUCUAGUUAAUAGAAAAAUGUGGGUAAGGGAAGUCGGCAAAAUGGUUAUGUAAGUUUGCGAUAAAGAAUGGCUCAUUAAGUUGAGUUAUAUGACUCGUGGAAUAGUCUAUGUGCUAUUACAGAUUGCCAAAUUUGAUACAAUAUUUUUUCUGGAAUAUCUUUCAUUUCAUAGGAUUGACAACUUGAGAAUAAAAUUUCUAAAUAGGAAUUGUUGUUUCAUUAACAAUUAACAGCUAAUAGUGAACUGUAGCUAAUCAGAGGAACCCGACUAUUUAAUUAAAAUAAAGCAUUGUGAGAGAUUUGGUUGUUAUGAAUACAAUGUGAUUUCUGCCCAGUGCUCUGAAUGUCACAGUGGAGAAAUUCAAUUAAGCGCGGGUAAACGGCGGGAGUAACUAUGACUCUCUUAAGGUAGCCAAAUGCCUCGUCAUCUCAUUAGUGACGCGCAUGAAUGGAUCAACGAGGUUCCUUCUGUCCCUUCCUACUAUCUAGCGAAA